AGUGAACGCUGGCGGUAGGCCUAACACAUGCAAGUCGAACGGCAGCACAGUAAGAGCUUGCUCUUACGGGUGGCGAGUGGCGGACGGGUGAGGAAUACAUCGGAAUCUACUUUUUCGUGGGGGAUAACGAAGGGAAACUUACGCUAAUACCGCAUACGACCUAUGGGUGAAAGCAGGGGAUCUUCGGACCUUGCGCGAUUGAAUGAGCCGAUGUCGGAUUAGCUAGUUGGCGGGGUAAAGGCCCACCAAGGCGACGAUCCGUAGCUGGUCUGAGAGGAUGAUCGCCCACACUGGAACUGAGACACGGUCCAGACUCCUACGGGAGGCAGCAGUGUGGAAUAUUGGACAAUGGGCGCAAACCUGAUCCAGCCAUACCGCGUGGGUGAAGAAGGCCUUCGGGUUGUAAAGCCCUUUUGUUGGGAGAGAAAAGCAGCAGGUUAAUACCCCGCUGUUCUGACGGUACCCAAAGAAUAAGCACCGGCUAACUUCGUG
This 492-nucleotide ribosomal RNA is filed under the name uncultured bacterium. RNAcentral describes it as "partial 16S ribosomal RNA". It matches the Rfam family "Bacterial small subunit ribosomal RNA", at positions 29 to 507 of the family's 1533-position model. The record is from RNAcentral.